CUUCCAAGUAUAGCUUUUUGCCAGCUGUCACCUUACCAUAUGAAUCAACCCUGAGUAAUUAAGUAAUGGAAGACUUAACAUAUUUUGUACACAAACAAUCCUAGUGGUGGAUAUGUUAACUUAAAGGUUUGACUCUAGUUGGAACCCCUCGGAUCAGGCCUUGUCCUAUUUUUAUAUAAUUUCCUAAAAUUUCAGCACAUCAGAUACAAUUAAGUGCAUAAUUUUAGUACUUGGAGAUAUAAACAUUUUUCUUUGUUUACAGAUGUGUGUAUAUGUGUGUGUGGGUGUGUGUGU
RNAcentral lists this long non-coding RNA (294 nucleotides) under Mustela putorius furo (domestic ferret). Its description in RNAcentral is "lncRNA (ENSMPUG00000026883.1)". The record is from RNAcentral. Lineage: Eukaryota; Metazoa; Chordata; Mammalia; Carnivora; Mustelidae.